Molecule: ribosomal RNA, 279 nt
Filed under: uncultured bacterium
Lineage: Bacteria
Description: partial 16S ribosomal RNA
Rfam family: Bacterial small subunit ribosomal RNA
Source: RNAcentral
UGCCAGCCGCCGCGGUAAUACGGAGGGUGCGAGCGUUAAUCGGAAUUACUGGGCGUAAAGCGCGCGUAGGCGGUCUGGUCAGUCGGAUGUGAAAGCCCCGGGCUUAACCUGGGAAUUGCAUUCGAUACUGCCAGGCUAGAAUGUGGGAGAGGCAAGUGGAAUUUCCGGUGUAGCGGUGAAAUGCGUAGAGAUCGGAAGGAACACCAGUGGCGAAGGCGGCUUGCUGGCCCAACAUUGACGCUGAGGUGCGAAAGCGUGGGGAGCGAACAGGAUUAGAUA